Molecule: non-coding RNA, 106 nt
Organism: Extremus antarcticus
Lineage: Eukaryota; Fungi; Ascomycota; Dothideomycetes; Mycosphaerellales; Extremaceae
Source: the annotation of a GenBank genome assembly
GCCGCAAUGGCUCAGUGGUUACAGCGAUGUCCCCACAGGUUCAGCUUACAGCUGGCUUGGUCAGGUACAAUCUUCGGAUGCCCGUGUUCGAAUCACGGUUGUCGAG